AGAGUUUGAUCCUGGCUCAGAACGAACGCUGGCGGCAGGCCUAACACAUGCAAGUCGAGCGAGGGGUAACCCUAGCGGCGGACGGGUGAGUAACGCGUGGGAACGUGCCCUUUGCUACGGAAUAGCCCUGGGAAACUGGGAGUAAUACCGUAUGAGCCCUUUGGGGGAAAGAUUUAUCGGCAAAGGAUCGGCCCGCGUUGGAUUAGGUAGUUGGUGGGGUAAUGGCCUACCAAGCCGACGAUCCAUAGCUGGUUUGAGAGGAUGAUCAGCCACACUGGGACUGAGACACGGCCCAGACUCCUACGGGAGGCAGCAGUGGGGAAUCUUAGACAAUGGGCGCAAGCCUGAUCUAGCCAUGCCGCGUGAGCGAUGAAGGCCUUAGGGUUGUAAAGCUCUUUCAGGGGGGAAGAUAAUGACUGUACCCCCAGAAGAAGCCCCGGCUAACUCCGUGCCAGCAGCCGCGGUAAUACGGAGGGGGCUAGCGUUGUUCGGAAUUACUGGGCGUAAAGCGCACGUAGGCGGACUGGAAAGUCAGGGGUGAAAUCCCGGUG
Molecule: ribosomal RNA, 551 nt
Filed under: uncultured freshwater bacterium
Lineage: Bacteria
Description: bacterial SSU rRNA
Rfam family: Bacterial small subunit ribosomal RNA
Source: RNAcentral